AUACGGAGGGUGCAAGCGUUGUUCGGAAUUACUGGGCGUAAAGCGCGCGUAGGCGGUCUGUUAUGUCAGAUGUGAAAGUCCUCGGCUCAACCGGGGAAGUGCAUUUGAAACUGGCAGACUUGAGUACUGGAGGGGGUGGUGGAAUUCCCGGUGUAGAGGUGAAAUUCGUAGAUAUCGGGAGGAAUACCGGUGGCGAAGGCGACCACCUGGCCAGAUACUGACGCUGAGGUGCGAAAGCGUGGGGAGCGAACAGGAUUAGAAACCCCGGUAGUCC
RNAcentral lists this ribosomal RNA (274 nucleotides) under uncultured bacterium. RNAcentral's name for it is "partial 16S ribosomal RNA". It matches the Rfam family "Bacterial small subunit ribosomal RNA", at positions 523 to 796 of the family's 1533-position model. The record is from RNAcentral.